RNAcentral lists this long non-coding RNA (557 nucleotides) under Equus caballus (horse). RNAcentral's name for it is "lncRNA (ENSECAG00000055152.1)". Lineage: Eukaryota; Metazoa; Chordata; Mammalia; Perissodactyla; Equidae. The record is from RNAcentral.
GUGUAAGAGCCCUUUUAGGUGGGGUCAUGUAGGUUAAAAUGUGAGAGUAAAGCAACAUCGAGAGCUCUGGAUGGAUCUGUUAAGAUUUAAAGAGUUUAUGUGGAAGACAUCAAGAAACAGUAAAUGAGGAAUAUUAAACAGCAAAACUUCAGAAACUCACCGGAGGCAGGUGUCCUGAGAGCCAUAUAGCUUUUAAGACAACUGUAGUCAAUGUCUCCCAUAAAAGGCUUGCCUCACCCAGCCAACCCCCUGCCAUAAAACCUAACAGAGACGAAAGAUUAAGAAAUGAUGUCACAGCCACAAGACACCACACCUAUGAAACACAACGUUUCAAAGAAUUAUUCCCACUUGUCUGUAACUGUGCACGUGUUAAACCACAAAAGAAAACAGAAACUAGAGCCACUUCUACUCACACUUGAAGUUCACAAAUAGUGUCAAGUUAAUUUUUUUGUGCUUCAGAUUGCUUUUGCUAAAGAGUGCUCUUUUUUCUUUUACUUUCUCUUUUCUUUUUACUUAUUACGAAUUACAGCGUAUAUUCCUAGGAAUGUAAUGUCUAG